UACGGGGGGGGCAAGCGUUGUUCGGAAUUACUGGGCGUAAAGGGCGCGUAGGCGGUCCGAUAAGUCCCGUGUGAAAGCCCCCGGCUCAACUGGGGAACUGCACGGGAAACUGACGGACUUGAGUUCGGGAGAGGGAAGCGGAAUUCCGGGUGUAGCGGUGAAAUGCGUAGAUAUCCGGAGGAACACCGGUGGCGAAGGCGGCUUCCUGGACCGACACUGACGCUGAGGCGCGAAAGCUAGGGGAGCAAACGGG
Molecule: ribosomal RNA, 253 nt
Filed under: uncultured bacterium
Lineage: Bacteria
Description: partial 16S ribosomal RNA
Rfam family: Bacterial small subunit ribosomal RNA
Source: RNAcentral